RNAcentral lists this long non-coding RNA (14514 nucleotides) under Medicago truncatula (barrel medic). RNAcentral describes it as "long non-coding RNA (MTRU_LNC007681)". Lineage: Eukaryota; Viridiplantae; Streptophyta; Magnoliopsida; Fabales; Fabaceae. The record is from RNAcentral.
UUUCAUCAUUAAGCUAUUAAAAUUAACUAAAAAGUACCUAAACUAUUCUCACAUAUAACUAUUAGCCCCUUGGUUGACAAAGUUAAUUUUUUUUAUGAUGGUUUAUGGACUAAAUUGAUAUAUUUUUUAUAGUUUAAAGAUCUUCUAGUUGAUUUUAAUAACUCGAAGGCUAUAUAUGUGAAAAAAUUGAUAGUUUAAGGAACAAGUUGAUUGUUUAUUCUUAAUUUGAUUGAAGUCUACUGGCACACAAAUUUACAAGGAUACGGUGGAUAUGGGGAAGUUAUACCUGAUAUCCCUACAUUUAAUCUUUUACCCCCUACAAAUUGUUGAAAAUGCCAAAUUUACCUUUUAUCAUUUCACUUCACCCUGCAUAAAAUUUUAGCCAACAAUACACUUCCGAGAUUUAAUACUCCAAUUUUCGGAAUAUUCAUAUCAAAUUUUUAUGGUAGAUUAAUUUGUAAACCGGAACAAUUGAGUAAAGAAUUAUUAUCAGAAUUCUUUCUUCUUUCAUCGAGGUUUGAGAGACAAUGAAAGAUGGAAAAUAGAAUACAACAACCUGUAUUAGUUAAUAUAAAAUUAAGUGCAAAGCAAAGAUCAUGAUACCAAACCUCAUCAAUUCUUCUUCCAAUUCAUUUUAUUUAGAUCUAAAAAAAUGAAAGGCCGUAUAUUUCUGGAGUAGAAUUUUAGAUGUAAGGUUGGGAAAUCAAAAAACCUGGCUAAAACUGCAGAAACCUGUUUUCUGAAUUCUUUCUAAAAAAACAGUGUAAAAAAAUGCUUGUCUCUUUAUCUGUAGAUCUAAAAAAAAAUCAUUUCUAAUUCAUCUUGUUUGGAAAUAUGAAUACGAAAAGUUGUAUAUUUUAAUUUUUUUUAUUUUUACAAAAUACCGUUGUUGGGAAUGUGAAUAAUCUAAGAUUAAAUGUAGGGGUGGUAAAAGAUUAAAUGUAGGGGUAUAUGGUAUAAUAUCCUGGAUAUGGUAGGCUUAUAUUACUUAGAACCCAAAUCAUGUUACUUAGGCCCGUCAUCAUGGACUUUUUUCAUGUGGUUUCCAUGCAGGCUAGUUGAAUAUUGCUCUUUAGGCAUCCAUGUUUUGCUCUCAGACAUUUUGAAAUUAUUAUUUUACCUCAAUGAAAAUUAAUUACCAUUUGUUGAUGAACGAUGGUUAGUUUUCAUUCUCUUAUGAACAGUAGUUAAUUGUCGUUCUAGGGCAUUUUAUGUGGUUCAGAUUGCGCAGACAGUUUUUGUGGUCCACGAUACAUAAAAACUUCUAUAAAUUGGUGUGUUUGGUUCAUUUGAAACCACACCACAAAAUCAUGAAUAUUUAUCUAGUAGAUCCGAACACCAAAUUAGCGCAGUUAACUACAACGGGGAAAACUCAAUAUGUUUAGGGUUCAGGUUAAUGCUAUAUCGGUUGACUUGAAGGAACAUAGUUGGACCAAAUUAACAGUCGACUCAACCACAAAGACACAAGAAAGGUGGAAAGUGUUGAGUAUCGUCAUCCAUUCGUUUGACUCAUAUGAAAGCGUCAAGUUCACCCAUAUGAAGUUCAAGAACAACGACAUCGUGAGAACCAUCAAGUUAGACGCUUCAUUGGUCAAAUAUUUUUUAGAUGUUCCGGAAAGUUUGAUUCAGAUUAGGACCUUCAAAGAAAACAGGACUUGCAUGGAUAGACCAAAAGAAAUAAGUAUGUCUUAUUCGUGAUUUUGUAUGUGUUUUAUUAUGUUGUUAAAUUAUGUUAGUGUAUUGUGUUUUAUUAUGUUUAAUGUAUGUUUUUGUUAACUUAUGUCAUUGAAAUUAUGUUAAUGUAUUGUAUUUUAUUAUGUUUAAUGUAUGUUCUUCUGAGCUUUCCUUUGUAACUAAUGAUUAACUACAGUUUCUUCUGAAAACAACAAUUAACUAUUGUUCCUAGAAUGGGAGUUAACUCUUGUUUAACAACGAAAAAUAAUUAAUUAUUAUUUCGGAUAAAAUAGUCAAUUUGAGACGUGUUAAAACAAAGUAUGAGUGUCUAACGAACAAUUUUCAAGAUAGUUUAGUCCUUUUUGGGUUCUACCUUUUUUUUUUAUGAGUAACUUCUACACCUAGUUUCCAUUCUUUUUUGUGUUAAUUGUCCGAUUUCUUAGCAUGUGCGUAACUCACGCAGCGUGACUUAAGUCACACAUGUGUAAAAACUAAGUCAUGUAUUUUUUACACUUGCGCUAAUUAACUAACGCAAGGGUAUUUUCGGCAACACUGCAGGGCGCGAGUGUUUUGUGUUGGGUGAAGAGCAGAAUUCUAAAGUCAUAUAUAUAUAUUAUGGUUUUAAAAGGGUAAUUGCUAAAUCAGAUUCAUAGGAAGCAACUAAGUUAAUAUUGAAAGGGCAUGGUAAAGGGCACCCUUGUUCUCAUAUCAUUUCUCAUAUUUCUAAUUUUCUUGUCUAAUUCAUGAGUUACAAGUUUCAACGUGUCUAACGUGAAGCCAACAAAGUCGUGAAUGCUUUUGCAAGGAAUAUCCAACUUCAAAGUAUUAGCGCAGCUUUAACUUGAUGAACAAACUUAGAGUUUUCUAGGGUUUUAAUUUGAUUUUGUUGAAAUAGAGAGAGAAUGAGAAGAAUGGGUGAAUGAGGAGACAAGAAGUAUUAAAGUUGUGAUUUCAUUUAUAUGUAAAAAUACACAUGAAAGUAGCUUAUAUACAUGGUUUUUUGCUAGGUUACUUGAAGUACAAGUCAUAUAACAAACCCUAAAUACCUUAAGCUAAAAUCUAGUAAAUUUGUAACAAACUAUUAACAAACUAAACUAACUAGAUUUCUAAUGUGAUUAACCAAACAAGCUUGAUUAGAUCACUAACAAACUUGAAUUAUCAACUAACACAAAGUUGCGAUAAUAUAAAAAUAAUAUCAGAACUAGUCUCUCUUCAAAUGAAUGAUGCAUCACAACUUAUCUUUCUCCUUUGAUGGAAAAAUUUGUUCUAAUACCAAUUAUUGAAGGAAAAAAAUCAAUAAAAAAUCUUUAAACAAGCGGGAACACAACCACAAAAUAAGUAAAAGAGAUAAAAACAAAUCACAAGCCUAUUUUUCGAUACUUCACAGUUCACACCUUCAUUCAUAAUAUCUUAACAAAAUAUUUGUUACAAAAAUAUGCAUAGUUUUACUAGGAAUUGCAAACCCUCUUGUACAAUUAUAAUUUUUGCACAGAAAUAUUGCAAACUAAUCUUUCUCAAUUACAAUUUUUGUAAGAAAAACUACAAACUCUUUCAUGACACACAACUACCCAACCUCUUUUUUUUUUUUUUUUUUUUUCAUUACUCGAUGUGCGAUGUGAAAGAAUAUCAAUUUUAGAGAACAAAUGGCUAUAAUUUAUAGGUGGCCUUUAUGAUUUUUGGCACAAAUUUUCAUACUGUGAAAUGUGAAUAGAUGCAUGUGCAGAGAUGGAGUUCAUAAUUUAAAUCUUACGUUAAAAAUAAAACAAGUUUUUAAUGUUAUAGUUUAAAAAUAAAAAAUUGUUUCUUAUAUACAAUAUUUUUAUGAAUAUUUACAUAGUUCUUAAAAAAAUUAAUAAUGAAUGGUAUAUUCGUGUCCUGUAUGACACAAUGAAACAUAUGCACAUGAUUAAAUUAUACAUUAAGCCUAAUCAUAUGAUCUGAAAAGAUUUUCUCUACAUUUCGUCGAGCUAGCAAGGUAGAUAGAUGUCAACUAAUAAGUUGAUGAAAUCGGCUAAAAAAGAUUCCCAGUUGAAGUUUAUUAUUUUUUUGGUGCAACCCAGUUGAAGAUUUUAUUAACUUUGAUGAUGGCUCUGAACUACCAAGUUUUCUAGAACUUGAACAAGUCCUUAAUUUUAGUUGAAUUGCAAUACUAUGUCUAUAUGUAUAGUAUACCGUUUCUGGUUUCAUAGUCUGUUAAUUUUAAGGAAUUUUUUCAAGUGGCUCAAAAAAAACAUAUACAGUACAUUCUUUAGUUUUAUUUACAUCGUUUUCAAUCUCUUUCGCUUUUUUAAAUAUUUACGCAGAAAACAUUUUUUUUUUUUUUUCAAUCAGAAAGAGGCAAAAUUAAGAUUUGCAUUGGUUUUAGUCAUCACCUACUACAUUAAAUUACUAUUUGUGGAAAAUAUUGUUUAUAGCGUGAAACUGUGCUCUGACUGGCUCACAUGCAAACGGACAGUGGCAAUAUUGUUUAAGGAAGUAUUAAUCUUUUUUUUUUUUUUUUUUUUGACAGAAACCAUAUAGUAUUAAUCUAUUAUUACUACUAUAUAUGCAUAAAAAAGGACCAAUUAACCGACAUGCUUUGAGUUAUUUUGUGUUUUUUUUUUUUAUUGUUUCUGAAAAAAUCAACCAACAUGCUUCUUUUUUUGCGCUAACUAAAACUAAUUUAUUUAUGCUACUAAUCAAUUUAUUAAGACUAAAACUUGAGUACAAGUUAGUCUUUUUUUUUGUAGUUGGUGACCUACAAGUGGUACUCUUGUACUCAUUAUACUCAAAGUCAAGGGUACAUGCGUAUGUGUUAUGCUGAAUUCGAAAAUUCAUAGUCAAGACCCAGCAAUAUCAAGAUAUAUACACACAUGUCCUAAAGUGCAUUCUGGAGAAUAAGAACUACAAGUCUAAAGUUUUUCUUUUUGUUAGUAAAGUUAUUUUAGUCCAAGUUUAGACUAUACAACGCUGACUAUGAAAUAUGAAAGGAAAAAAAAACCUUCAAUUUUUGUCAAAAAAAUAAAUUCCAUUGUCUCUAACUAAUUAUUGAAAUUUUAAACAUGUGUUUGGUCUAACGGUAUGGUAGAAAAAAUCACGGCAAAAAUUCACGGUAACUACAAAAUCUAAAAAUUUGUAAUUUCUUUGAAAUUUGAGUUUGUAACUUCGAACGUCAAAUAAUCGUUCAUUAAGUCUCUAAAGCUCACAUGAUCAGACCAGCUUUGAUUGCAAAAUAUGACCAACUAAUUACUAAUAAACAUUUAAUUUUGUUAGCAGAUCAAUUUAUCUGUUUAAUGUUAAAAUAAAUCUGAUCCAAUUCAAUACUUUUGGACAUAGAUUGAAAUGGUUUCCCCCCCCCCCCCCCCCCCUUUUUUUUUUUUUUUUUUGUAAACUAGGUAUCCUCCGCGCGCAACUGCGGAGACUAAUCCCUCGAGCAUUGUGAGACCCAAAUGGACGGCAGACUCUCCCUAAGAGUUUUAACGCUGCUGGAGGUAUUGUAAAUAAUAUUUUGUGUUAUAUUAUUUUUAAGAGUGUAUAUUUCUAUAUAAAAAGAGUGAGUUUUGCCUUCAACCUCGAGGUAAUCGGUUUGAGACCUAGGCACUGAGAACAUGAGUUUUUUCGAUUAGCUCUUUAAAAAAUUAUUUAUAGGAGGAAUAAUUGUUUUUAUGGAAUUUGUCGUGUAAUAAAAAUCUAAAUCGUCUAGUCUACAAUUUUGUAUAGUCUUCAAUUAUGUUGUGAAUUCGGGCUUUGAAACUUCACACCAAUCCAAACUAUGAUGUGUGGAGAAAGUAUCAAUGGCAACCAACAACCAAAUUAACCAUAAGCAAUAACAAUAAUAUAUACCAAGUCUAUAAACCAAGUGCAUAGCAAAAUCACAAUCCAACCAAAUAAUAAACAAGAUAAAAGAGUAAAGAAAAAUAGACAACAACACCAAGAGAUUGUUCACCCAGUUCGGUCCAACCAUGACCUACUCUGGAGGAGAGAUUGAUCUCUUCAAUCCACUAUCAAUGAGUUCUUACAAAGAGAUACAAAUGAGUUACAAGAAAUUAGCUUCAACAAGCUCACAAAAAACAACCCUAAUUUCUACCAAUUUUCCCAAUCUCACCAAUGAACAAGACACUCAUGAUUUUUACUCUCCCAAGGUGUUUACAAUUGUUUCACAACUCUAGAAUCUAACCCCCAAAAGAGAACCAACUCUUAGCCUUUGAUUUCACUUAGGAUCUUCUCUUUUGGUUUCACAAGACUCACCCAAGUUGCUCGCAAAUGACUCUCCACUCAUGUGUUUCCCAACCCCAUGAAUCUUCUCCAAAAGGCACCAACCCUUUUCACAAGAGCCCCCUCUUUUGGUUCUCCAAGAUUCACAUCUUGAAGCUUUGAACCUCACCCAAAGACCCUCAACCUUUAGUAUCUAAAACCCUAAAAGUUUCAUCCUUUGGUUGUUAUGGGAUUCACCAAGCUUACCCAACAAAUGGAUCAGGGAGUGUUUAAAACAUGUUUCAGAUCUGUCAAAAUCGUGUCACAUUUUGCCUUCAGAACCAAACAUGCAUUCGGCAUCAGAAAUCGUGACACGGUUGCCAAAUCGUGUCAUGAUUCUUCACUUUCAUAAAGACUUAAUUUUGAGUCAUAUAUAUACCAACAAAUUCAAAUUAUAUAAAUGGACGGUAUAUUCUUUAGUAAAAGUAUUAUUUCACAAUUUAAUACGUAUUAUUAAAAGAAAUUAGAAACAAUUAUCAAAAAAUUAUGAUAGAUAAUAUAUUAAACUCGUCUAGUGUGUGUGUAUUUUUGAAGGAUAGUGUGUGUGUGUAUUAACAUCAUUCUCUAAUUAUUUUUGUAGGGAAACAAUGUUGGUUAAAUUGAUGUGUACUUUUUUUUGUAAAAAAUAAUCGACGUAUUUUUAAAUGAGAUUUACAUGUAGAGAGAGACAGCGGUAGACAUAGUAGUAGAACAAUUAAAAUUUAAAAGACCACUUUACAAAUUGCACCAAGUGGUCCUCUAAAAAAGAUCACCGACAGUUGCUUCACUUUACCUUCAUAUAUUUUAGAGCAAUGAUAUUUGAACAAUUAUUUAGUACAACAUUUUUUGACAAUCUUCUUUUUCUCUCUUUUUAUUGGUCAAAAAUAAUGAAGAGAAAAAAGAAGAGAUAGAGUAAAAAUAUAAUAUGAAUAUGAGAAAAAAAAUUGUCUAAAAAUUAUCACAAAAUGGUUGUACAAAUAUUAUUUCUCCAUAUUUUAGACACAGGCUAAUCAUUAAUUAAUUUGUGUAAAAAAAAACAAUAAUAUUAUUUUGACAACAUUAUUCAACACCUUAUCUUUCUUUCAAAAAACAUUAUUCAACACCUUAUGUUCAUAUUAUCAUUUGAUUUUCUUAAUUAUGUUUUACAUCAGUCACAUCAAGUGACAUUUUACACGCUUAUCAAUUUUUUUUGUCAAGUAGCCUAGUGUUUAGAACUCAUAUAAUUUAAUUGUGAAGAAAUGAAGUGUCAGAGAUUCGAACUCCAACCCCUGCAUAUAAUAUGCAAUAUCCCUACCAACUGAACUAAGCUCACGAAGAUCGCGGUUAUCAAUUUUUGUAGUUCAAAUAACAUCACUAAAAAAAGCUACGAGGCAGACGCACAAAUUUUCAUUGAGCAGUUGUGUUAAUUAAUUUUAUAACGCAAGGAAAAUGGUGAAGUUUUUGUGAAUAGAGAAAUGAUAUAUAUACAAUCAUUUUCAAACAACUUUUGUAAUAACUUUAUCUCUCAUUUUUAUAUUUUAUUUUUAUUUUUUUCUCUAUUAUUUUGGUUUUCGUUUAUGAUUUUUUGUAAGAAAAUGAUUGUCUAUGUAGUUAUCAAUCACAUUGAUGUUCAAAUAACAUUGCUUUUGUGAAUAAUGCAAAAUAGUUUCUCGGAACAAUCAAUUAUUCAAUUGAUAUUUACGAAAUUAGUUUUUGUAGGGUGUCCCUAUAAAUCACAUAUACUUUAAAACAGUCAUAUGUAUUCACGAUUCGAGAUCUUAUAAAAAAACCAUUCCAGAUCAUGUAUGAAAAUGAAAUAUAUAUUUUUUUUGACUGGUGUAUGAAAAUGAAAUAUUUUCAAAAAUAAAAUAUACUCUCUGCCCAUAUAAUGUCAGCGUAGGUGUCGGUGUUUUUCUACCGACUAUAAGAAAAACUGUAAAAUAAAUAAAACAAUAUAGUAAUUUAAAUUAGUGAUUGUAAAUUAUUGUCUUAAAUGUAUAGUUCAAUAUAAUAGAUUAAAAAUGAUGAAAAAAAUAUUAAUUUAAGAGUAGAAUUGAAAUAACAUAUAUGUUUUCGAUAGUUUAACUAAAUUGAUAAAGACAUUGCAUAAUAAUAUACAAGUGUUUUGAAAUUCCAUUUAUUCAUUACAUGUGAAUUUUUAGAUAUUAAACUAUUUGGAAAAUAAAAUAAAAUAUCAAAUAAUUAAGGUUUAAAUAUGUAAGUAGUCCCUGUAAUUUCGCGUAUUUUUGUUUUCGUUCCUGUAAGUUAUUUUGUUCUAAAACAAACUCUGUAUUUUGCUAACCUUUUGGAAAAGGUCCUUGCCGUCAGCUUCCGUCAACAAAAACGCCAUGGUGGCUAACGGAGCACACGUGGCAGUUCAUGAGUUGGCAAAGUUGAUGAGAUGGAAUGAGAGAUGAUAAGUUGUUAAAAUACAGGGACUAAAAUCAAAAACGUAAAUUGACACAGGGAUGAAAUUAAAAAAACGUUUAAUCUUCUUUUUCCUCUCAAAUUUCAGUCUUCUUCUUCCUCUCAAACUUUCCCCAAUCUAUCCCAUACCUUGCGCCCUUGAACCAAAACUCAUAUCCUUCAACAAUUUAUUCUAAUUCCAUUACUCAAUCAUAUUGUGUGUUUUGAUUGUAAUGUUAAGUUGAAACAUUGUAUGCUACUUAAGUUUGAUUAAUUUAGUGAUGGUUGUUGCGAUUGAUUGCAAAUUCAUUCAUAAAGUUUGUAGAUAAUAAAGGCAAGAAUACAUCUUUUUCAUCCCUCUUUUUUUUCCACAAUUCCCUCUUAUUCUUCCAGAUUGCUACAAUUACCAUACAUAAAUAGUCAGAUCCCCUUUCAUCUUUUCUCACUCACAUUCAAAUUCAAACUCUAAUUUCUCAAAUUUUUGCUUUUGAAUUGUGUAAUUUUGUGUUUUUAUGUAAUUGGUGUAGAGAGUUUAUGUUGUUUUAAUGUGUUGAUUAAGAGUGGGUCUUGUUGUUGUUGAUUGAUGAUUAUUAGUUUUGUUUAAAAAAAUAUAUAUGUUUGUUGUUUUCUUUCUUUUCCUGGGUUUGGUGUUGAUGAUUUAUGAAUAUGGUGAUGAAGAUGAAGAAGACAAUGAAGGAAGAAGAAGAAUAAGAUCUUGAUUUUAAAUUUGAAAUUUUGAUUUUACGUUUUUUAUUUUAGUCCCUGUGGUAAUUUACGCUUUUGAUUUUAGUCCCUGACUUUACACAACUAAUCAUCUCUCAUGCCAUCUCAUCAAAUGUGCCAAGUCAUGACCUGCCACCUGUGCUCCGUUAGCCACAAUGGCGUUUUUGUUGACAGAAGCUGAUGGUAAGGACCAUUUUCAAAAGGUCAAAAAGAUACAAGGUUUAUUUUAUAUAAAAAAAAAAACUUACAAGGACGAAAACAAAAAAUACGCGAACUUAGAGGAACCUUUUACAUAUUUAAGCCAAUAACUAAUAGCACUUAUUUUGGUACAUUUCUCUUUUGCAAAUGUGAAACUUAAUAUUGGAUGGGGUCAAUAAUUUUGAGAAUGAAUAAACCCAUUAUUUAGUCUUUUAAUUUUUUUUUUCCAUCCAUCAGGUUUCUAAACUAUUUACAAACACUAAAUGUCCUUAAGACAUAGCUCAAGUAACAAUAUUGAUAUUGAGAAGUUGGAUAUUUUCAUCCGAGUUUGAACUCGAAUUCUUGCAAUUACGAGUGUGAAUUUCAGGUAAUUUAUAUCAAUUUAUCUGUAAACAAAAGGAGAUAUAUACGCGUAACAAAUAGGUCUAAUGCAAAUUAACAACUUAUUUUUAGUUUAUAAAAUAUAUGAAAUUUAAUCCUUUAGUCCCUAGUAUAUUUUAACAAUGGGCACUAAAGCAACAUAUAUUUCAUAUAUUUUAAAUACUACUACAUCUUUCCUUAUGUAUAAGCUCAUUUGACAUUUUCACAUAUAUUAAAAAAGUUAGUAGUGUCUUGACAAAAAAGAAGCUCCUUAGAGUUUCCUUAUGUAUAUUUUUUUAAACCGAAAAAAUUGUGUACAAAAAAUGACUAUUAUUACUAAAAAAAAUCUUUUGCAUAUAGAUGUGUUCAACAUUUAUUUUGCAAUUCUCAAGACAAAUCAGUGGUACAUCUUAAUAAGUGAUAUAUUUGUUAGGAAAAAAAAUUACUAUAUGUAUCUAGUUAUUUGCAAGACUAAUGAUUCUUAGCAAAUAUGCUUAUAUUGAGAGAACUUUUUUCUAAAGAGAGCUUAUAAUUAGAGACUAAGAUUUUGCCAAAAAAUAAAGAAAAAUUAGAGAAUAAGGUUUAUACUAUACUUUAGAAACUAAUUUGAUGAGAUACGACUAAAUCGAAGAUAUAUUUUUUUAGAAUAGUGUUAGAACCUUAGAAAUUAUAAUCAAUAGAAAUAGAAAUGUUCCUUACAGAUCCAUAAUAGUGACAAUCUUGUCUUUUCUUUUGAGGAAAUAAUAAUAAAGGUGGUGCCAACAUUUCAACAAACCUAGCUAUUUUAAUUAUUCUGUUCUCACAGCCUGCACCUUAGAUCAAAUCCAAAUUGGGUCAUCACCGUUCCAAAAUGCUUAGGGACGUUACUCUAAAUGUCAAUAUGAAUGAGUAAUUCAAAUAGUUAACAUAGCCCGCCAGCCUUAUAUAAUAAUAUCAAUAUAUGUCGACUAAUUAUCGAGAUGCUAAAUUGGAGUACACUUCACAAACAAAAAUCUUUCAUAAGGCGUUUUUUCUCUUAAUACAUUUUUUCUUUUCUUAUGCUAGUAACAUUUACUCUGUAUUGGCCUUCCUAAGAAGAAGUUGGAUAGUAGCAAUGUGUUCGUGAGACUGCUGAUAUCUUAAAAGAAUGUUCUCAUAGAUUCCACUUUUUUAGUAAGCUUUUAUGUGUAUGAGUUUGCAAAUUUAACCCUUUUUAAUUCGGAUAGAUUUAUAAGUCACACCUUCAAGUACAAUCGACAAAAUUUCAGUAAUAAUUACGGUUUAGGGUUUAUGGGUCUAGAUCUACUAAAAAUGAGUGGGUGUAUAAAUUAGUAUAUCCUAGAGUUUAUUAUCUUACGUUCGAUCUUCUUUGCAGAAACUCGUGCAUGUUCGUGAUAUAUAUUUUCGCGAGAAGUACAUUUCCCUAAAACAAAAUCAACCACUGACAUAAACACGUCAAAUGUAAGCCGGUAAAUCCAAGCUUUACUAACACGAGUUAUAUUAUAUCAUUGGCAUCAGCUACUUAAGAACUACUGUAGAAAAUUUACAGCAAGUCAUCGAGGCUUAAUAAAAUGUGUUGAUAUAGUUACAAAGAUAAAUUAAAUAGCAGAGCAUACAUGAAGAGAACAAAUGUAGAGCAACCCCUUAAACAAACCCUCUCAGUAAGGUAUCUUCACAUUACUCUAAGUUCAUAAAAGAUGACUUUAAAAACGAUUAUUUCAAAAUGCAAGUAUUCUCCGACCCCUUUUUCCCGGAUCUAGAUCUAAUAGUGUAAGGAUAUAUAUAAAUCAUUGUCACAUUUUACAACUCAAGAGUUUACCUCAACUCGUUUUGUUUAGGUAAAUUCGACUCGAGAACUCGUAUGACUUUACCUAAAAUUAAAAUUAUAUAAAAUUUAUUAUAUAUGCAUGACAUAUGUAAGUUAAUAUAAUAUUGUAAAUAGGUCAAUAGUGCAAAAUAUGACUUAAUUACAAAGACAAAUUAUACCAUAAUAAAAUGUUAUGCUCAACUUAGCUUCAAAAUACAAAAAUUAACGCACAAAAUCAUAAGUCUCUAAGUUUAAGCCAUCCAUAAAACCAUCCAAAAAAAGAAAGUUUCACAAGUUCCUAAAGUUAUUAAUAAAACUAUCUAAAAAAUAAAGUAGUUAAUUUCUUCAAAACGUCAACAAACACCACCACAACAACCCUAACCAGUGUCACAAUCACCGGCGUUGAAAUAUGAAUUUCCACCGUCUGAAUCACAACCCUAAAUGGUAUGUGCUCCCCUGUUCAUGGUUUGAGAACUUAGAAAAGAAAAAGGGCAAUCCGGUGCACUAAAGCUCCCACAUACGCAGGGUCCGGGAAGGGGUCCCACCAUUUUUUGUGUAUUGUACGCAACCUUACCCUGUUUUUGAUCACAAAAGAAAAAGAAACGUUUCAUUUUAGGAACAACUUGUCACUGUAAAGGUAACUAUUAAUUAAACGUUUCAGUCUUUGGGGUUGUAGAAAAGGAAUUGGAUUUUGAAAAAAAUGGGCACAUAAAAAGGGCCAAUUUUUAGAUGUAAACUCGUAAAACUCAGUAAACUCGGUCGAGUUUACACGAGUUUACCUAGUGUUAACUCGGUCAAACUCGUUAAACCUUCCAAUUUUACCAGAAACCGAGUUUACCUCCGAAUUAACAUGAUUUUGGCACCUACGUAAACUCGAAGAGUUAACACUCAAUUUGCGGAACAUUGCAUAUAUAUUUAAAGAUAUAUGUAUAAUUAUAGAGAAAGUAGAGAAGGGAUAUACCAUUUUAUGUAGGGUUAUUAUGUAUCAAAUCAUAAAGAGUCGAGAGUUGUAUUAUACCAUAAUAUUCUUCCGUAAACUGGUAGUCAUGAUCAUGACGUAUAUUAUUCAAGUAUAUGCAAAAACAUGUCUGUAUCUAGUCUAAAUUUUUGACCAAAUGCAUGUAUUUGCUUAUAUUUUGUUACUACUUACUACUCGCCAAGUAAUGCUCAAUAUCUAAUAUAUAUAUUUCAAGACCAUCAAAGAUAACUCAGUUGAACAAUACAUAAUAUAUGCAAGGUUCGGGGUAUAUUACAUUUUCAAUUAUUCUAAUAAUAAAUUUAAAUGACACUUAAAUUAUACAACUAUUAAAUAGAUCUUAGUACCGUAAAAUUUAUAUUCGAGACUUGCUAGGGAGAACCAUCAACCUCAACAAAAAUUUCUACUUGAAUCUAACGCAAACAAAAGGUCCAACCAUCUAUGAAUCUCCGUUGAUAUCACAAAUGAUGUUUGAUACAAGAGAGACAUAUUAGAACAUAAUCUAUGUACAAUCUACAUUAAAAUAAAAAACAAGUCUACAGUCAUAUAAAUAACACAAUUUCAAAAUCUCAAAAUUAGGUAUGAAAACAAAAUGAUUAGAAAAAUAAAUGAUUCAAUCAUUCCGAGAUUUGUGCAAAAAAAAAAAAAAAAACAUUUUGAAAAUACAAUGUUAGAAACUUAUGAUCAAUAUAUAUUUUUCCUUACACAUCAAAAAUAAUUAAGCUAUAUUCUUGUCUUUUCAUUUUGGGCAAACUAAAAUUAAAAUCAAGGUAGUGUCAAUGUUUCUAUAGUCCUAGCUAUUUGAUUUUCUUCUAAGCUAACAAGAGUCUUCCAAAAUCAAAUUCGCGCUCAAAAUUAAAGCAACUUGGGUGGUAACCAUUCCAAAAUACUUAGGGCCACAUUGCUCUAAAAGUCAAUAAGAAUAAGUAAUAAUUCAAAGAUAGCCAACCUUAUAGUAUAUUUUAAUAUGAAUGUAUGCAUGUUUCCUAGAAGGUGAGUAAGCUAACUAAUCAAGAUACUUUGUUGGAGUUAAAUAUGGUAAAGAAUCCAACUAUAAAAUGGGGACUUGCCCCAGCAUUCUUUCACAAACCAAAACCAACUUCUAAGAAAAAAAUGAGGUCCCUAAUGGCCUCUGCUUCUCUCACUCUUGCAUUAGCCAUCCUCUUUUUGAGUUUCCCAUCUGAAAUUUCAGCAAACAAAUACGCAUAUUCCUCUCCACCACCACCACAUUACUCAUCUCCUCCACCUCCACCGGUUCACACUUACCCUAAACCAGUCUACCACUCUCCACCACCACCAGUUCACACCUACCCUAAACCAGUUUACCACUCUCCACCACCACCAGUUCACAAGUACCCUCACCCUAAACCAGUAUACCACUCUCCACCACCCCCAGUUCACAAGUACCCUCAUCCACACCCAGUCUACCAUUCUCCACCACCCCCAGUUCACAAGUACCCCCAUCCUCACCCAGUGUACCACUCUCCCCCACCACCACCACCAAAGAAGUCCUACAAAUACCCAUCUCCCCCACCACCACCAGUUCACACCUACCCUAAACCAGUCUACCACUCUCCUCCACCCCCAGUUCAUCACACCUACCCUAAACCAGUCUACCACUCUCCUCCACCCCCAGUUCACACCUACCCUCACCCUAAACCAGUCUACCACUCUCCACCACCCCCAGUUCACACUUACCCUAAACCAGUCUACCACUCCCCACCACCACCAGUUCACACCUACGUCCCUCACCCUAAGCCAGUCUACCACUCUCCACCACCACCAGUUCACACCUAUCCCCCACAUGUUCCCCACCCAGUUUACCAUUCUCCUCCUCCUCCAGUUCAUUCCCCACCUCCACCACACUAUUACUACAAAUCACCUCCUCCACCUUACCACAACUAGAUAGCCCAUAAUUGGCAUCACACCAUAUGGUAACUUUUCAUGCAACAUAUAUAUUAUAACUUUUCAUAUUCUCUCUUUAUUAACUAGUUAUCGGUAUGAUUGUCGAGUAUAUACUAACAAGGCUAAUUUGAAAUGAAACUUCAUGUGCAAUGAAACAUUCUUUUACUGGUUAAUAUUUUAUUCUAUGUUUCAUUGAAAUUAAUAUUUUUCUAAUAGUAUUUGGUUAUUAAGGGAUUAGAGUAUAUCAGACAUAAACUGACAGAUCAAUAUAUUUGCAUUUGUGUAGGAUCUAAAC